CCAUGUAGUGCCACCCAUCGCUUGCCCGUGCCUCCGAUGGCACGGCCGCCUCCUAUGUCGCUAUCGUGGCCCUUGCCAUCAUCCUUCCUGCUGCCACCACCCAUCCCAUGGUCUUCUUCCUCACAAUGGGUAACAGAAAGAGGAGGGGCCAAAAUCAGUGUCCUCCUCUACAAAAUUCGACCGAUGACGAUCGAAAACCAAUCGAUUGACGGGCCACCAUCGUCUCCUUGACGGCAGUCGCUGGC
RNAcentral lists this long non-coding RNA (245 nucleotides) under Elaeis guineensis (African oil palm). Its description in RNAcentral is "long non-coding RNA (EGUI_LNC003633)". Lineage: Eukaryota; Viridiplantae; Streptophyta; Magnoliopsida; Arecales; Arecaceae. The record is from RNAcentral.